Non-coding RNA from Parascedosporium putredinis, 81 nucleotides. The record is from the annotation of a GenBank genome assembly. Lineage: Eukaryota; Fungi; Ascomycota; Sordariomycetes; Microascales; Microascaceae.
GCCCGAGUGGUUCAAGGGUAGAAUACUCGCCUCCCAUGGGGUGAACAGCGAGUGAACCGAGUUCGAGUCUCGGCUCGGGCA